This 254-nucleotide ribosomal RNA is filed under the name uncultured bacterium. RNAcentral describes it as "partial 16S ribosomal RNA". It matches the Rfam family "Bacterial small subunit ribosomal RNA", at positions 524 to 776 of the family's 1533-position model. The record is from RNAcentral.
GACGUAGGGCGCGAGCGUUGUCCGGAUUUAUUGGGCAUAAAGAGCUCGUAGGCGGCUUGUCGCGUCGACUGUGAAAACCCGUGGCUCAACCAUGUGGUCUGCAGUCGAUACGGGCAGGCUAGAAUUCGGUAGGGGAGACUGGAAUUCCUGGUGUAGCGGUGAAAUGCGCAGAUAUCAGGAAGAACACCUAUGGCGAAGGCAGCACUCUGGGACGGUACUGACGCUGAGACGCGAAAGCGUGGGGAGCGAACAGG